GAUGACGGCCUUCGGGUUGUAAACCUCUUUCACCAUCGACGAAGGUCCGGGUUCUCUCGGAUUGACGGUAGGUGGAGAAGAAGCACCGGCCAACUACGUGCCAGCAGCCGCGGUAAUACGUAGGGUGCGAGCGUUGUCCGGAAUUACUGGGCGUAAAGAGCUCGUAGGUGGUUUGUCGCGUUGUUCGUGAAAUCUCACGGCUUAACUGUGAGCGUGCGGGCGAUACGGGCAGACUAGA
Molecule: ribosomal RNA, 238 nt
Filed under: Mycobacterium tuberculosis
Lineage: Bacteria; Bacillati; Actinomycetota; Actinomycetes; Mycobacteriales; Mycobacteriaceae
Description: partial 16S ribosomal RNA
Rfam family: Bacterial small subunit ribosomal RNA
Source: RNAcentral